GUGCACCAGGCGCGAAACCUUCGCAAUGCGGGAAACCGCGACGAGGGGACUCCCAGUGCCUACGCUCAGCGUAGGCUGUUCCCGAGCCUAGAAAGCUCGGGGAGUAAGGGCUGGGUAAGACGGGUGCCAGCCGCCGCGGUAAUACCCGCAGCCCGAGUGGUGGCCACUAUUAUUGGGCCUAAAGCGUCCGUAGCCGGCCCGGUAAAUGCCUGGGUAAAUCGUGAGGCCUAACCUCACGAAUUCCGGGUAGACUGCCGGGCUAGGGACCGGAGGAGGGAGAGGGUACUCCAGGGGUAGGGGUGAAAUCCUGUAAUCCCUGGAGGACCACCGGUGGCGAAGGCGCUCUCCUAGGACGGGUCCGACGGUGAGGGACGAAAGCCAGGGGAGCGAACCGGAUUAGAUACCC
This 406-nucleotide ribosomal RNA is filed under the name uncultured microorganism. RNAcentral describes it as "bacterial SSU rRNA". It matches the Rfam family "Archaeal small subunit ribosomal RNA", at positions 330 to 738 of the family's 1478-position model. The record is from RNAcentral.